AUUGAACGCUGGCGGCAUGCUUUACACAUGCAAGUCGAACGGUAACAGGCCUUCGGGUGCUGACGAGUGGCGAACGGGUGAGUAAUGCAUCGGAACGUGCCCAGAGGUGGGGGAUAACGCAGCGAAAGCUGUGCUAAUACCGCAUGGGAUCUGAGGAUGAAAGCGGGGGACCAGGCAGCAAUGUUUGGCCUCGCGCCUUUGGAGCGGCCGAUGUCAGAUUAGGUAGUUGGUGGGUAAAGGCCUACCAAGCCGACGAUCUGUAGCUGGUCUGAGAGGACGAGCAGCCACACUGGGACUGAGACACGGCCCAGACUCCUACGGGAGGCAGCAGUGGGGAAUUUUGGACAAUGGGCGCAAGCCUGAUCCAGCAAUGCCGCGUGCGGGAAGAAGGCCUUCGGGUUGUAAACCGCUUUUGUACGGAACGAAAAGGCUCUGGCUAAUACCUGGGGCUGAUGACGGUACCGUAAGAAUAAGCACCGGCUAACUACGUG
RNAcentral lists this ribosomal RNA (491 nucleotides) under uncultured bacterium. RNAcentral's name for it is "partial 16S ribosomal RNA". It matches the Rfam family "Bacterial small subunit ribosomal RNA", at positions 29 to 507 of the family's 1533-position model. The record is from RNAcentral.